UACGAAGGGGGGCUAGCGUUGCUCGGAAUCACUGGGCGUAAAGCGCACGUAGGCGGAUCUUUUAAGUCAGGGGUGAAAUCCUGGAGCUCAACUCCAGAACUGCCUUUGAUACUGGGGGAUCUCGAGUCCGGGAGAGGUGAGUGGAACUGCGAGUGUAGAGGUGAAAUUCGUAGAUAUUCGCAAGAACACCAGUGGCGAAGGGCGGCUC
RNAcentral lists this ribosomal RNA (208 nucleotides) under uncultured bacterium. Its description in RNAcentral is "partial 16S ribosomal RNA". It matches the Rfam family "Bacterial small subunit ribosomal RNA", at positions 524 to 727 of the family's 1533-position model. The record is from RNAcentral.